UACGGGGGGGGCAAGCGUUGUUCGGAAUUACUGGGCGUAAAGGGCGCGUAGGCGGUUUGCUAAGUUGAAUGUGAAAACUCUGGGCUUAACCCAGAGCCUGCAUUCAAUACUGGCAGGCUAGAGUUCUGGAGGGGAUAGCGGAAUUCCUGGUGUAGCGGUGAAAUGCGUAGAUAUCAGGAGGAACACCGGUGGCGAAGGCGGCUAUCUGGACAGAGUCUGACGCUGAGGCGCGAAAGCUAGGGGAGCAAACGGG
This 253-nucleotide ribosomal RNA is filed under the name uncultured bacterium. RNAcentral describes it as "partial 16S ribosomal RNA". It matches the Rfam family "Bacterial small subunit ribosomal RNA", at positions 524 to 776 of the family's 1533-position model. The record is from RNAcentral.